UUAGUGGCUAACGGGUGAGUAACACGUGGGCAAUCUGCCCUGCACUCUGGGACAAGCCCUGGAAACGGGGUCUAAUACCGGAUACGACCACCGGCCGCAUGGUCGUGGUGGUGGAAAGCUCCGGCGGUGCAGGAUGAGCCCGCGGCCUAUCAGCUUGUUGGUGGGGUGAUGGCCUACCAAGGCGACGACGGGUAGCCGGCCUGAGAGGGCGACCGGCCACACUGGGACUGAGACACGGCCCAGACUCCUACGGGAGGCAGCAGUGGGGAAUAUUGCACAAUGGGCGAAAGCCUGAUGCAG
Molecule: ribosomal RNA, 300 nt
Filed under: Streptomyces sp.
Lineage: Bacteria; Bacillati; Actinomycetota; Actinomycetes; Kitasatosporales; Streptomycetaceae
Description: bacterial SSU rRNA
Rfam family: Bacterial small subunit ribosomal RNA
Source: RNAcentral